GAUGAACGCUGGCGGUACGUCUGACACAUGCAAGUCGAACGGUAAGCCACCUUCGGGUGGCCUAGAGUGGCGAACGGCUGAGUAACACGUAGGAACCUACCCCUCAGUUCGGGAUAACGGGACGAAAGCCCCGCUAAUACCGGAUAAUAUCGAAAGAUUGAAAGGUUUAUCUGCUGAGGGAGGGGCCUGCGGGCUAUUAGCUUGAUGGUGGGGUAACGGCUCACCAUGGCGAUGAUGGCUAGCUGGUCUGAGAGGAUGAUCAGCCAGACUGGGACUGAGACACGGCCCAGACUCCUACGGGAGGCAGCAGUUCAGAAUCUUGCACAAUGGGCGAAAGCCUGAUGCAGCGAUACCG
Molecule: ribosomal RNA, 355 nt
Filed under: uncultured bacterium
Lineage: Bacteria
Description: bacterial SSU rRNA
Rfam family: Bacterial small subunit ribosomal RNA
Source: RNAcentral